AGAAUUUUUCACAAUGGGCGAAAGCCUGAUGGAGCGACGCCGCGUGGGGGACGAAGGGCUUCGGCUCGUAAACCCCUGUCAUUUGCGAACAAGGGCGCCAACCUAAUACGUUGUCGCUUGAUAGUCGCAGAAGAGGAAGGGACGGCUAACUCUGUGCCAGCAGCCGCGGUAAUACAGAGGUCCCAAGCGUUGGUCGGAUUCACUGGGCGUAAAGGGUGCGUAGGUGGUGGACUAAGUCAGGUGUGAAAUCUCCGGGCUCAACCCGGAGUCUGCGCCCGAAACUGGUUCGCUCGAGGAUGGGAGGGGAGACUGGAAUUCUCGGUGUAGCAGUGAAAUGCGUAGAUAUCGAGAGGAACACCGGUGGCGAAGGCGAGUCUCUGGACCAUUCCUGACACUGAGGCACGAAAGCCGGGGGAGCAAAC
RNAcentral lists this ribosomal RNA (422 nucleotides) under uncultured bacterium. RNAcentral's name for it is "bacterial SSU rRNA". It matches the Rfam family "Bacterial small subunit ribosomal RNA", at positions 358 to 773 of the family's 1533-position model. The record is from RNAcentral.